GAGCCUGCCACGUUCCUGUUCCUUCUCCCCCGCCCCUGAGCAUGCGAACAGCUGUUUGGCAGUGGUCGGGCAGGAAACACUGCGAGGAGAGUACUUGGGCCUCCUAGUUCAUAUACUCCCACUGGUUUUGGUUCCUGAAGUCCACCUCUGAUCUGGAGACUGUGGAGGCUGGCUAACGAGAAGUGGAUGGGUGUUGAAGAUUUCGAAAUGCAGCUCAUUCAGUUAAAAAGCUCAGAAUUGUGGGCAUCAAAGUUUGGAGAUCCACGGAGUGCAUUUAAAGCUACGAAGAGAGAUCAUGGGGACUCUAUUCUGACCUGAUGGACAUCUCUGCCAGUGAAAUUUAACUGUUUGAAGAAAAUUGUGUUUGCAAUGCUUUCAGCAUUUGGAUCCGCAUACCUGUGUGAACAGGUAUUUUCACACAUGAAAUCUGUCCUCUGUCCCUCUUAGAGCCAGUUAACAACUGAUCACUUAGAAGCCUGUGUCCACCUUAAACUAUCCAAAUA
Caretta caretta (loggerhead turtle) is the source of this 503-nucleotide long non-coding RNA. RefSeq lists it as uncharacterized. NCBI's taxonomy places the organism in Eukaryota, Metazoa, Chordata, Testudines, Cheloniidae. The record is from RefSeq and is a predicted model, not a curated record.